Molecule: ribosomal RNA, 583 nt
Filed under: Bacillus pumilus
Lineage: Bacteria; Bacillati; Bacillota; Bacilli; Caryophanales; Bacillaceae
Description: bacterial SSU rRNA
Rfam family: Bacterial small subunit ribosomal RNA
Source: RNAcentral
UUCCUUGAACCGCAUGGUUCAAGGAUGAAAGACGGUUUCGGCUGUCACUUACAGAUGGACCCGCGGCGCAUUAGCUAGUUGGUGGGGUAAUGGCUCACCAAGGCGACGAUGCGUAGCCGACCUGAGAGGGUGAUCGGCCACACUGGGACUGAGACACGGCCCAGACUCCUACGGGAGGCAGCAGUAGGGAAUCUUCCGCAAUGGACGAAAGUCUGACGGAGCAACGCCGCGUGAGUGAUGAAGGUUUUCGGAUCGUAAAGCUCUGUUGUUAGGGAAGAACAAGUGCGAGAGUAACUGCUCGCACCUUGACGGUACCUAACCAGAAAGCCACGGCUAACUACGUGCCAGCAGCCGCGGUAAUACGUAGGUGGCAAGCGUUGUCCGGAAUUAUUGGGCGUAAAGGGCUCGCAGGCGGUUUCUUAAGUCUGAUGGAAAGCCCCCGGCUCAACCGGGGAGGGUCAUUGGAAACUGGGAAACUUGAGUGCAGAAGAGGAGAGUGGAAUUCCACGUGUAGCGGUGAAAUGCGUAGAGAUGUGGAGGAACACCAGUGGCGAAGGCGACUCUCUGGUCUGUAACUGACGCU